RNAcentral lists this ribosomal RNA (451 nucleotides) under uncultured bacterium. Its description in RNAcentral is "partial 16S ribosomal RNA". It matches the Rfam family "Bacterial small subunit ribosomal RNA", at positions 354 to 796 of the family's 1533-position model. The record is from RNAcentral.
GUGGGGAAUAUUGGACAAUGGGGGGAACCCUGAUCCAGCCAUGCCGCGUGUGUGAAGAAGGCCUUUUGGUUGUAAAGCACUUUAAGCGAGGAGGAGGCUACCGAGAUUAAUACUCUUGGAUAGUGGACGUUACUCGCAGAAUAAGCACCGGCUAACUCUGUGCCAGCAGCCGCGGUAAUACAGAGGGUGCAAGCGUUAAUCGGAUUUACUGGGCGUAAAGCGCGCGUAGGUGGCCAAUUAAGUCAAAUGUGAAAUCCCCGAGCUUAACUUGGGAAUUGCAUUCGAUACUGGUUGGCUAGAGUAUGGGAGAGGAUGGUAGAAUUCCAGGUGUAGCGGUGAAAUGCGUAGAGAUCUGGAGGAAUACCGAUGGCGAAGGCAGCCAUCUGGCCUAAUACUGACACUGAGGUGCGAAAGCAUGGGGAGCAAACAGGAUUAGAUACCCUGGUAGUAC